This 99-nucleotide microRNA precursor is filed under the name Canis lupus familiaris (dog). RNAcentral's name for it is "mir-8799 microRNA precursor family". It matches the Rfam family "mir-8799 microRNA precursor family". RNAcentral also lists the same sequence under 1 other name. The record is from Rfam by way of RNAcentral. Lineage: Eukaryota; Metazoa; Chordata; Mammalia; Carnivora; Canidae.
GGGGGGAAGCCGGAUCCUGGGCUGUGUCCCCAGUGCCCUGUGCUCACGGGCCUGCGCUGUUGGAAUUGCACUCCCAGCCGGUCAGCCGGGCAGCCUCCU